Girardinichthys multiradiatus is the source of this 396-nucleotide long non-coding RNA. RefSeq lists it as uncharacterized. NCBI's taxonomy places the organism in Eukaryota, Metazoa, Chordata, Actinopteri, Cyprinodontiformes, Goodeidae. The record is from RefSeq and is a predicted model, not a curated record. The transcript is spliced from 3 exons.
GUCGAAGCGGAUUGGUCAAGCAGGGGAAGCCAUGGCGGACCAUAGCAACAAAAGCUAUCUAAACCAUGCAAUAUUCAUUUAAUCAAUGAGGAACUGACUCUAACAUCUACCUGUCCCUGGAGUAAUGUCAAGGCGAGCAGCAGGGUCCAGCACUUUCAUGUCCUUCAGGAGUGGAUGGUCAAGAGGAAAGGAGGAGAACAUCUUCUGAAGCACUGCUUCAUAGAAUCUUCUCACAGAUCUACAACAGCAUAAGGGGAGCUCUUUCCUUGCCAUGAACGCCUUUGUUUCUGCUCCUAUAAAGAGCUCUUCGUCAGGCAACUGAUGUGCUUCUCCAUACUCCACCUCCUUGAGAGGUACACCCAUGAUGGCCCUGGCUGGUAUGAGGAACCCCAGGAU